GGGCGUUAAGUUGCAGGGUAUAGACCCGAAACCCGGUGAUCUAGCCAUGGGCAGGUUGAAGGUUGGGUAACACUAACUGGAGGACCGAACCGACUAAUGUUGAAAAAUUAGCGGAUGACCUGUGGCUGGGGGUGAAAGGCCAAUCAAACCGGGAGAUAGCUGGUUCUCCCCGAAAGCUAUUUAGGUAGCGCCUCGUGAAUUCAUCUCCGGGGGUAGAGCACUGUUUCGGCUAGGGGGCCAUCCCGGCUUACCAACCCGAUGCAAACUGCGAAUACCGGAGAAUGUUAUCACGGGAGACACACGGCGGGUGCUAACGUCCGUCGUGAAGAGGGAAACAACCCAGACCGCCAGCUAAGGUCCCAAAGUCAUGGUUAAGUGGGAAACGAUGUGGGAAGGCCCAGACAGCCAGGAUGUUGGCUUAGAAGCAGCCAUCAUUUAAAGAAAGCGUAAUAGCUCACUGGUCGAGUCGGCCUGCGCGGAAGAUGUAACGGGGCUAAACCAUGCACCGAAGCUGCGGCAGCGACGCUGAUGCGUUGUUGGGUAGGGGAGCGUUCUGUAAGCCUGCGAAGGUGGCCUGUGAGGGUUGCUGGAGGUAUCAGAAGUGCGAAUGCUGACAUAAGUAACGAUAAAGCGGGUGAAAAGCCCGCUCGCCGGAAGACCAAGGGUUCCUGUCCAACGUUAAUCGGGGCAGGGUGAGUCGACCCCUAAGGCGAGGCCGAAAGGCGUAGUCGAUGGGAAACGGGUUAAUAUUCCCGUACUUGGUGUUACUGCGAAGGGGGGACGGAGAAGGCUAUGUUGGCCGGGCGACGGUUGUCCCGGUUUAAGCGUGUAGGCUGGUUUUCCAGGCAAAUCCGGAAAAUCAAGGCUGAGGCGUAACGACGAGGCACUACGGUGCUGAAGCAACAAAUGCCCUGCUUCCAGGAAAAGCCUCUAAGCAUCAGGUAACAUCAAAUCGUACCCCAAACCGACACAGGUGGUCAGGUAGAGAAUACCAAGGCGCUUGA
Molecule: ribosomal RNA, 1004 nt
Filed under: Salmonella enterica subsp. enterica serovar Montevideo
Lineage: Bacteria; Pseudomonadati; Pseudomonadota; Gammaproteobacteria; Enterobacterales; Enterobacteriaceae
Description: partial 23S ribosomal RNA
Rfam family: Bacterial large subunit ribosomal RNA
Source: RNAcentral